AGAACAAAAGAAGAAACAAU
This 20-nucleotide small RNA is filed under the name Arabidopsis thaliana (thale cress). RNAcentral's name for it is "ATSL078120". Lineage: Eukaryota; Viridiplantae; Streptophyta; Magnoliopsida; Brassicales; Brassicaceae. The record is from RNAcentral.